Oreochromis aureus is the source of this 295-nucleotide long non-coding RNA. RefSeq lists it as uncharacterized. The record is from RefSeq and is a predicted model, not a curated record. NCBI's taxonomy places the organism in Eukaryota, Metazoa, Chordata, Actinopteri, Cichliformes, Cichlidae. The transcript has 4 exons.
GUGCGGCCCAGCGCAGUUGUCAACAAUGGCGGCAGCUAGAUGCAGUGGAUGAAGGACCCUUAGGUGAGGAAGAGGCAUGCUGGGAUUCAUGGGACUGCUGCGAGAGCAGUCACCUGGAACCACUGCUGCAGUCUGUUAUGAAGAGGAUUCACAGCUGCAGCUCAGUCACCAGCUGCUGCACGGUGUGAGAGCGCAGCCGGCCGAUCUCCAAGACGCCCUCGUGGUUCACGCUUUCUGUGUCCUCGUAACUCUUCACCACCUGAAGCAAAGUGAGACAUCACAGAGUCUUUGUAAC